GAAUCAACGCUGGCGGCGUGCCUCAGACAUGCAAGUCGAACGCGAAAGUUCCCUUCGGGGAGCGAGUAGAGUGGCGUACGGGUGAGUAACACGUAGGUAAUCUACCUUUGGGUGGGGAAGUAACAGCCGGAAACGGCUGCUAAUACCGCAUAAUGCAGCGGCUCGACAUCGAGACAGUUGUUAAAGCGGGGGAGUCGCAAGACCUCGCGCCUAAAGAGGAGCCUGCGGCGGAUUAGCUAGUUGGUGAGGUAAUGGCUCACCAAGGCAUCGAUCCGUAGCCGGCCUGAGAGGGCGGUCGGCCACACUGACACUGACAUACGGGUCAGACUCCUACGGGAGGCAGCAGUCGGGAAUUUUGGGUCAAUGGGCGAAAGCCUGACCCAGCAACGCCGCGUGAAGGAUGAAA
RNAcentral lists this ribosomal RNA (406 nucleotides) under uncultured bacterium. RNAcentral describes it as "bacterial SSU rRNA". It matches the Rfam family "Bacterial small subunit ribosomal RNA", at positions 27 to 413 of the family's 1533-position model. The record is from RNAcentral.